RNAcentral lists this transfer RNA (61 nucleotides) under Heterodera glycines (soybean cyst nematode). RNAcentral describes it as "tRNA-Asp". The record is from RNAcentral. Lineage: Eukaryota; Metazoa; Nematoda; Chromadorea; Rhabditida; Heteroderidae.
AAUGAAAUAGUAUAUUUUUAGUAUUUAAAUUUGUCAUUUUUAAGGUUUUUUUGUUUUUUUA